GAUGAACGCUGGCGGCGUGCCUAAUACAUGCAAGUCGAGCGAACGGACGAGAAGCUUGCUUCUCUGAUGUUAGCGGCGGACGGGUGAGUAACACGUGGAUAACCUACCUAUAAGACUGGGAUAACUUCAGGAAACCGUAGCUAAUACCGGAUAAUAUUUUGAACCGCAUGGUUCAAAAGUGAAAGACGGUCUUGCUGUCACUUAUAGAUGGAUCCGCGCUGCAUUAUCUAGUUGGUAAGGUAACGGCUUACCAAGGCAACGAUGCAUAGCCGACCUGAGAGGCGGGUCGCCCACAUGAGAGCGGGAACCGGCACCGGCCCCCUGCGGGAGGGCCCAGACGGGUACCUUCGGCAGGGGGGGAGAACAUGGCGGAACAGGCCGGAGGGUGUGGCAGAGGCGUUGGGUGCUUAAACCCUGUUUUUGGGGGAAAAACAUAUGUUGAAUGAAACGAACCCUGAGUGACGGUACUGAAUAAAAAAGCACCGGCUAACUACGUG
This 497-nucleotide ribosomal RNA is filed under the name uncultured bacterium. Its description in RNAcentral is "partial 16S ribosomal RNA". It matches the Rfam family "Bacterial small subunit ribosomal RNA", at positions 28 to 507 of the family's 1533-position model. The record is from RNAcentral.